Molecule: transfer RNA, 73 nt
Filed under: Xanthocytophaga agilis
Lineage: Bacteria; Pseudomonadati; Bacteroidota; Cytophagia; Cytophagales; Rhodocytophagaceae
Description: tRNA-Gln
Rfam family: tRNA
About the family: Transfer RNA (tRNA) molecules are approximately 80 nucleotides in length. Their secondary structure includes four short double-helical elements and three loops (D, anti-codon, and T loops). Further hydrogen bonds mediate the characteristic L-shaped molecular structure. tRNAs have two regions of fundamental functional importance: the anti-codon, which is responsible for specific mRNA codon recognition, and the 3' end, to which the tRNAs corresponding amino acid is attached (by aminoacyl-tRNA synthetases). tRNAs cope with the degeneracy of the genetic code in two manners: having more than one tRNA (with a specific anti-codon) for a particular amino acid; and 'wobble' base-pairing, i.e. permitting non-standard base-pairing at the 3rd anti-codon position.
Source: RNAcentral
AUCGGGAUAGGCUCAGGGGUAGAGCAGUCGGCUCUGGACCGACCGGACGCAGGUUCAAGUCCUGCUCCCGAUU